AAAACUUCUUGUUGUGAUUUUCCACAGCCGCGACUGACCCUUGUUGACUCCUUGCCACCACUUCAAAACCCUCAGGAAGUUUCGCCACCUCAUCUCCAUGGCUCAUCCAAACAACUUGCCGGUCCCCAACCUUCUUAGUCCCAUACAACGCAUUAGCCUUCUCCACCUCAAUCUCCAUUCUCCCAUACUCCUGUUUCUCCCCAACCUUCACCACACCCCCCAACCUCUGCACAAUCAACUGGAGCCCAUAACAAACACCCAAAACAAAAACCCCAUUCGCCUCCGCCCACUCGACGAACCCAGAAGGGAAACUCGGCGAGUCGUGAGCGUGGACAGAGUGAGGCCCGCCGGAAAGAAUAACAACUUGUGGGUUGAGAUCAGUGAUGGCUUUAAGCGG
RNAcentral lists this unclassified non-coding RNA (397 nucleotides) under Hevea brasiliensis (rubber tree). The record is from RNAcentral. Lineage: Eukaryota; Viridiplantae; Streptophyta; Magnoliopsida; Malpighiales; Euphorbiaceae.